This 496-nucleotide ribosomal RNA is filed under the name uncultured bacterium. RNAcentral describes it as "partial 16S ribosomal RNA". It matches the Rfam family "Bacterial small subunit ribosomal RNA", at positions 29 to 507 of the family's 1533-position model. The record is from RNAcentral.
AUGAACGCUGGCGGCGUGCCUAAUACAUGCAAGUCGAGCGAACAGACGAGGAGCUUGCUCCUCUGACGUUAGCGGCGGACGGGUGAGUAACACGUGGAUAACCUACCUAUAAGACUGGGAUAACUUCGGGAAACCGGAGCUAAUACCGGAUAAUAUAUUGAACCGCAUGGUUCAAUAGUGAAAGACGGUUUUGCUGUCACUUAUAGAUGGAUCCGCGCCGCAUUAGCUAGUUGGUAAGGUAACGGCUUACCAAGGCAACGAUGCGUAGCCGACCUGAGAGGGUGAUCGGCCACACUGGAACUGAGACACGGUCCAGACUCCUACGGGAGGCAGCAGUAGGGAAUCUUCCGCAAUGGGCGAAAGCCUGACGGAGCAACGCCGCGUGAGUGAUGAAGGUCUUCGGAUCGUAAAACUCUGUUAUUAGGGAAGAACAAAUGUGUAAGUAACUAUGCACGUCUCGACGGUACCUAAUCAGAAAGCCACGGCUAACUACGUG